This 620-nucleotide ribosomal RNA is filed under the name Staphylococcus aureus. RNAcentral describes it as "partial 23S ribosomal RNA". It matches the Rfam family "Bacterial large subunit ribosomal RNA", at positions 1603 to 2224 of the family's 2925-position model. Lineage: Bacteria; Bacillati; Bacillota; Bacilli; Caryophanales; Staphylococcaceae. The record is from RNAcentral.
CACUGCCGAGAAAAGCCUCUAGAUAGAAAAUAGGUGCCCGUACCGCAAACCGACACAGGUAGUCAAGAUGAGAAUUCUAAGGUGAGCGAGCGAACUCUCGUUAAGGAACUCGGCAAAAUGACCCCGUAACUUCGGGAGAAGGGGUGCUCUUUAGGGUUAACGCCCAGAAGAGCCGCAGUGAAUAGGCCCAAGCGACUGUUUAUCAAAAACACAGGUCUCUGCUAAACCGUAAGGUGAUGUAUAGGGGCUGACGCCUGCCCGGUGCUGGAAGGUUAAGAGGAGUGGUUAGCUUCUGCGAAGCUACGAAUCGAAGCCCCAGUAAACGGCGGCCGUAACUAUAACGGUCCUAAGGUAGCGAAAUUCCUUGUCGGGUAAGUUCCGACCCGCACGAAAGGCGUAACGAUUUGGGCACUGUCUCAACGAGAGACUCGGUGAAAUCAUAGUACCUGUGAAGAUGCAGGUUACCCGCGACAGGACGGAAAGACCCCGUGGAGCUUUACUGUAGCCUGAUAUUGAAAUUCGGCACAGCUUGUACAGGAUAGGUAGGAGCCUUUGAAACGUGAGCGCUAGCUUACGUGGAGGCGCUGGUGGGAUACUACCCUAGCUGUGUUGGCUUUCUA